Molecule: long non-coding RNA, 226 nt
Filed under: Homo sapiens (human)
Lineage: Eukaryota; Metazoa; Chordata; Mammalia; Primates; Hominidae
Description: HSALNT0006210
Source: RNAcentral
CAUCGUCAUCUGAUGUUUCACUGCUACUGGUUUCGGUGUCUGAGUCCUCAAACUCUGCUUUGCAAGUGCUUCUCCAAGGGGAGAACAGACUGGAACUGCGGCUCGAGUGUGAGAGAACCUCCCCUUCUUCCACUACAGGGAGGGCAAGACCAUUUUGAUGACAGCCUUCCUCCCCAUUUUCCUUUGGUUCAGGUGUGCUGUUGUCCUCCAACUGCAAUAAGGAAAA